AUUGAACGCUGGCGGAAUGCUUUGCACAUGCAAGUCGAACGGCAGCACGGAGUGCGGUCUGGUGGCGAGUGGCGAACGGGUGAGUAAUGUAUCGGAACGUGCCCAGUCGUGGGGGCUAACGUAGUGAAAAUUACGCUAAUACCGCAGACGUUCUAUGGAUGAAAGCGGGGGAUCGCAAGACCUCGCGCGACUGCAGCGGCCGCUGUCAGAUUAGGUAGUUGGUGGGGUAAAGGCACACCAAGGCAACGAUCCGUAGCUGGUCUGAGAGGACGACCAGCCACACUGGAACUGAGACACGGUCCAGACUCCUACGGGAGGCAGCAGUGGGGAAUUUUGGACAAUGGGCGAAAGCCUGAUCCAGCCAUUCCGCGUGCAGGAUGAAGGCCCUCGGGUUGUAAACUGCUUUUGUACAGAACGAAAAGGUUUCUACUAAUACUAGGAGCUCAUGACGGUACUGUAAGAAUAAGCACCGGCUAACUACGUGCCAGCAGCCGCCGCUG
This 500-nucleotide ribosomal RNA is filed under the name uncultured bacterium. RNAcentral's name for it is "partial 16S ribosomal RNA". It matches the Rfam family "Bacterial small subunit ribosomal RNA", at positions 30 to 523 of the family's 1533-position model. The record is from RNAcentral.